AAGGGAGACCUAAUUCAGGUAUGGGACGAAAAAAAAGUAGUCGCUACCAAGAAUCAAUCCCAAAAGGUCGGAGCGAGGCGAAAUUGGCUUUCAAACUAGGUUCUGGGUUCACACAAGACCUGAAUCAGGAACAAGGGCUAUUAGCUCAGGUGGUUAGAGCGCACCUCUGAUAAGGGUGAGGUCCCUGGUUCGAGUCCAGGAUGGCCCACCUGCACAGGUGGCAAAAACAAGAGAAGCUCCGAAUCAGCACCUUAUCUUACUUAUACAGUAAGAGAGAAUGCUGGCUCUGAGUUCAGAGUUCAGAGGAACCUUGAAAACUGCAUAGAGCUAGGUGAAAAAGCCAAAAAAGAAGACCGCAA
RNAcentral lists this transfer RNA (359 nucleotides) under uncultured Microcystis sp. Its description in RNAcentral is "partial miscellaneous RNA". The stretch from base 135 to 208 matches the Rfam family "tRNA". The record is from RNAcentral. Lineage: Bacteria; Bacillati; Cyanobacteriota; Cyanophyceae; Chroococcales; Microcystaceae.